RNAcentral lists this ribosomal RNA (242 nucleotides) under Thalassiosira antarctica. RNAcentral describes it as "partial Bacterial large subunit ribosomal RNA". It matches the Rfam family "Bacterial large subunit ribosomal RNA", at positions 1722 to 1956 of the family's 2925-position model. Lineage: Eukaryota; Bacillariophyta; Thalassiosirophyceae; Thalassiosirales; Thalassiosiraceae. The record is from RNAcentral.
AUAACACCGUAACUUCGGGAGAAGGUGUGCCCCGGUAGUGUGUAGCGAUUUACUCGUGAAGCAUGAUGGGGUUGCAGUGAAAAGGUGGCUGCGACUGUUUAAUAAAAACAUAGCACUGUGCUAACACGAAAGUGGACGUAUACGGUGUGACGCCUGCCCGGUGCUGGAAGAUUAAAUGAUGGGGUGCAAGCUCUUGAUUGAAGUCCCAGUAAACGGCGGCCGUAACAAUAACGGUCCUAAGG